RNAcentral lists this ribosomal RNA (400 nucleotides) under uncultured bacterium. RNAcentral's name for it is "bacterial SSU rRNA". It matches the Rfam family "Bacterial small subunit ribosomal RNA", at positions 30 to 429 of the family's 1533-position model. The record is from RNAcentral.
AUUGAACGCUGGCGGCAUGCCUUACACAUGCAAGUCGAACGGCAGCACGGGUGCUUGCACCUGGUGGCGAGUGGCGAACGGGUGAGUAAUAUAUCGGAACGUACCUUAUCGUGGGGGAUAACGCAGCGAAAGCUGCGCUAAUACCGCAUACGCCCUGAGGGGGAAAGCGGGGGACCGUAAGGCCUCGCGCGAUUAGAGCGGCCGAUAUCUGAUUAGCUUGUUGGUGGGGUAAAGCCACCAAGGCGACGAUCAGUAGCUGGUCUGAGAGGACGAUCAGCCACACUGGGACUGAGACACGGCCCAGACUCCUACGGGAGGCAGCAGUGGGGAAUUUUGGGACAAUGGGGGGCAACCCUGAUCCAGCCAUUCCGCGUGUGCGAUGAAGGCCUUCGGUUGUAAG